GUGCUCACCUUGACAGCACAUACACUAGAAUGGAACCAUACAGGGAUGAUUGGCAUGGCCUCUGUACACGGAUGGCUCACAGAUACAGGAAGAGUUCCGUAUUAGA
Molecule: small nuclear RNA, 106 nt
Organism: Peromyscus californicus insignis
Lineage: Eukaryota; Metazoa; Chordata; Mammalia; Rodentia; Cricetidae
Source: RefSeq, a predicted model, not a curated record